GACGAACGCUGGCGGCGUGCUUAACACAUGCAAGUCGAACGGAAAGGCCCUGCUUUUGUGGGGUGCUCGAGUGGCGAACGGGUGAGUAACACGUGAGUAACCUGCCCUUGACUUUGGGAUAACUUCAGGAAACUGGGGCUAAUACCGGAUAGGAGCUCCUGCUGCAUGGUGGGGGUUGGAAAGUUUCGGCGGUUGGGGAUGGACUCGCGGCUUAUCAGCUUGUUGGUGGGGUAGUGGCUUACCAAGGCUUUGACGGGUAGCCGGCCUGGGAGGGUGACCGGCGACAGUGGGACUGAGAUACGGCCCAUACUACAACGGGAGGCAGCAGUGGGGAAAAUUGCACAAUGGGCGGAAGCCUGAUGCAGCAACGCCGCGUGCGGGAUGACGGCCUUCGGGUUGUAAACCGCUUUCGCCUGUGACGAAGCGUGAGUGACGGUAAUGGGUAGAGAAGCACCGGCUAACUACGUG
RNAcentral lists this ribosomal RNA (468 nucleotides) under uncultured bacterium. RNAcentral's name for it is "partial 16S ribosomal RNA". It matches the Rfam family "Bacterial small subunit ribosomal RNA", at positions 28 to 507 of the family's 1533-position model. The record is from RNAcentral.